Molecule: ribosomal RNA, 500 nt
Filed under: uncultured bacterium
Lineage: Bacteria
Description: bacterial SSU rRNA
Rfam family: Bacterial small subunit ribosomal RNA
Source: RNAcentral
AGUUUGAUCAUGGCUCAGAUUGAACGCUGGCGGCACGCCUUACACAUGCAAGUCGAACGGCAGCGGACCUUCGGGUGCCGGCGAGUGGCGAACGGGUGAGUAAUGCAUCGGAACGUGCCAUUGAGUGGGGGAUAACGUAGCGAAAGUUACGCUAAUACCGCAUAUUCUGUGAGCAGGAAAGCAGGGGACCGCAAGGCCUUGCGCUCUUUGAGCGGCCGAUGUCAGAUUAGCUAGUUGGUGAGGUAAAGGCUUACCAAGGCGACGAUCUGUAGCGGGUCUGAGAGGAUGAUCCGCCACACUGGAACUGAGACACGGUCCAGACUCCUACGGGAGGCAGCAGUGGGGAAUUUUGGACAAUGGGCGCAAGCCUGAUCCAGCCAUGCCGCGUGAGUGAAGAAGGCCUUCGGGUUGUAAAGCUCUUUCGGCCGGGAAGAAAUCGCAUGGGUUAAUACCCUGUGUGGAUGACGGUACCGGAAUAAGAAGCACCGGCUAACUACGUG